Molecule: microRNA, 18 nt
Filed under: Corchorus capsularis
Lineage: Eukaryota; Viridiplantae; Streptophyta; Magnoliopsida; Malvales; Malvaceae
Description: sRNA CCACVL1_28805
Source: RNAcentral
GUUACUUGGGGCUAUUAU